CCUUUGACGUUAGCGGCGGACGGGUGAGUAACACGUGGGUAACCUACCUAUAAGACUGGGAUAACUUCGGGAAACCGGAGCUAAUACCGGAUAAUGUUUCGAACCGCAUGGUUCGAUAGUGAAAGGUGGUUUUGCUAUCACUUAUAGAUGGACCCGCGCCGUAUUAGCUAGUUGGUAAGGUAACGGCUUACCAAGGCGACGAUACGUAGCCGACCUGAGAGGGUGAUCGGCCACACUGGAACUGAGACACGGUCCAGACUCCUACGGGAGGCAGCAGC
This 278-nucleotide ribosomal RNA is filed under the name uncultured Staphylococcus sp. RNAcentral describes it as "partial 16S ribosomal RNA". It matches the Rfam family "Bacterial small subunit ribosomal RNA", at positions 83 to 355 of the family's 1533-position model. The record is from RNAcentral. Lineage: Bacteria; Bacillati; Bacillota; Bacilli; Caryophanales; Staphylococcaceae.